GUCGUGGCGGGGAGAGGAGUCUCCAGACGGAAGUGGGGUGCUGUUCUGAGAGAAAGAAGCAGCUUGGUGCUGGAUGAGAACCCGUGAACACCGAGGCUUCCCUCUGCCUCUCUGCUGACUGGUCCCUUAGCUCUGGGACGACUGAGAAGAGAACCCUGUUGACCAGGAAGGGCAGCCUUGGGAACCUAGCAAAAUGGGAAGGUCCGGGAAAUAUGGUAGACCAGGCAAGGAAAGACCGAGACUGGAAUGGUGCGUGCGGGAUGGGGGCCGAGCAGGCAGGGGCUGAGGCCGGUGGCAUUCCGCAUGAUUACCACCAGAGGGCAGCCUUGCCUAGAGACAAGGGGAAGCAGGCGGCGGUCGGGGCUACGGGUGACUCUUGUCGCUGCCCAGCACAGCAGAUCAUACUGCCAACCCCUAUUGAGCCUCCCCUGCCCUAAGCACUUUCUGUGCGUCAACUCACUGAAUUACCACCAGUGAGGUUGGUACACUUAUUACCCCGUUUUACAGAGGAUGAAACCGAGGCUUUGGAGAAGUUAAGUAAUAGAUCCAAGAUCAUAGAGCUAGAAAGGGGCAAGUCAUGGUUCUGGUCUACUAAACUCUGAGCCUUCUGAGGUCAGGGGCCCCCACAGACCCUAACACAAUCAACUAUUUGCUGAAUGAAUGCCUGUUGAAGUGAGAGCCUGGGGGCUCCAGGGCUGUCCCUGCAUCCCCCACCCUCCCUGCCCCCGAGGGAGCCCCCUAGGCCCAGUUCAGGCGGUGCCUCAUCCAGGUGUGCCGCCCCUGGGAAGAUGAGUCUUGGAGCGUGCCCCGGCCCUGCUGUACUGGAAUCUCAGGAACCUCAUAGCACCAGUGAAAGAGAGUUUAGAUCUUGCCACGGCUUGGCAACUCUGCAGCCCCGCCCUGUAGGUCGCUCUCUGCCCUCCUCCAGGAGCAGCUGGCGACGCAGCUGGGGGGAGAGGAGAGCACGUGCAACGUGAGUUCAUUCAGCAACCCCCUGGGGCUCCCACUGCAGGCCAAACACCACACUAAGUGCUUUGAGGGAGACCGAGAUAAGCGUGCCGCAGCCCCCCACCCCACUCCCCUCUUGGGAGGAGAAAUCAGCCACAGGCAGAAGGACGAACACAGAAGGAAGCCCUGCCUACCAGGAGACAGAAUGUCAACCCUCUCCUCUUCCAGGCAACAAAAAGAAUUGCUUUGCCUGUCCAGCAUCCAUUCUCCAAUCCUGUGGUAACAGCACCCUAAUUUUUCUUUGGUAUCUCAACUUAGGCCACAUGGUUGAGGUGGCACCAGACUCCCAUCUAAGCUCCAGGAGUACCCUUGUUAUCUGGAUUUGACUUGUCAUUGAGUUCUACCACCGUCACGGUCACCCCACCACCAUCACCCCUUCAUAGUCAUUGGUUCAGAGUGGACACACUAUCUAAAUUGGUUCAAUCAGAUAACUCCAUGACUUUUUGGUGGACCACUGGGGAAUGGAGCAUUCUCUCUUCUCUGAAGUGGGAUCUACAAGGAUGUGAGCCUAGAGGCUGUUACAACCUGUCUGAGAAUAGAACCAGUGCUGAGGAAGCAGAGCCAAGAGAUAGAGAAAGCCUGAAUUUUGUGACAUCAUUUGAGCUCCUGGAUGUAGCCAUACCUGAAGCUCAACCUCAUUAGAGGUGGGUUUCUGACACCACCAAACAAAAGCAUUCGGACUGUCACAUGGAGGCUGAGCAAUACGAGCAUGAAGACCAGACAUCCUGAUUUCUAGUCCAGUGCUCUCACCCUGUAUUGUGUUCCAGAUGACUUUAUCCAACAGCACAUCCAAACUUGACUAAUUUAUGUGGCUUUAUGGUUUACUAAAAGAUGGAUUUUAAAAAAUAAAAACAUGUGAUCACAA
Molecule: non-coding RNA, 1873 nt
Organism: Equus caballus (horse)
Lineage: Eukaryota; Metazoa; Chordata; Mammalia; Perissodactyla; Equidae
Source: RefSeq, a predicted model, not a curated record